Molecule: ribosomal RNA, 253 nt
Filed under: uncultured bacterium
Lineage: Bacteria
Description: partial 16S ribosomal RNA
Rfam family: Bacterial small subunit ribosomal RNA
Source: RNAcentral
UACGGGGGGGGCAAGCGUUGUUCGGAAUUACUGGGCGUAAAGGGUUCGUAGGUGGCUUGUUAAGUCAGACGUGAAAUCCCUCAGCUUAACUGGGGAACUGCGUCUGAGACUGAUGAGCUCGAGUGCAGGAGAGGAACGCGGAAUUCCAGGUGUAGCGGUGGAAUGCGUAGAGAUCCGGAAGAACACCGGUGGCGAAGGCGGCCUGCUGGGCAGUAGCUGACGCUGAGGCGCGACAGCGUGGGGAGCAAACAGG